UAUCCCCUGCCCAUUGUCUAGUCUUUAAUACAAUGAUAUGUGCAAUCAAAUGUGACGUAAAUUAUCAGUUAGUCUCACCUCUUGUGGAAGAGGUUGAAUACAAGGGCUAAUAUAACAUCUCUAUAUCCCCGCCCAUUGUCUAGUCUUAAAUACAAUAUGUGCAAUCAAAUGUGAUGAAAAUUAUCGGUUAGUCUCACCUCCUUGUGGAAGAGGUUGAAUACAAGGGAUAAUAUAACAUCUCUAUAUCCCCCGCCCAUUGUCUAGUCUUAAAUACAAUAUGUGCAAUCAAAUGUGAUGAAAAUUAUCGGUUAGUCUCACCUCCUUGUGGAAGAGGUUGAAUACAAGGGAUAAUAUAACAUCUCUAUAUCCCCCGCCCAUUGUCUAGUCUUAAAUACAAUAUGUGCAAUCAAAUGUGAUGAAACUUAUCGGUUAGUCUCACCUCCUUGUGGAAGAGGUUGAAUACAAGGGCUAAUAUAACAUCUCUAUAUCCCCGCCCAUUGUCUAGUCUUAAAUACAAUAUGUGCAAUCAAAUGUGAUGAAAAUUAUCGGUUAGUCUCACCUCUUGUGGAAGAGGUUGAAUACAAGGGCUAAUAUAACAUCUCUAUAUCCCCGCCCAUUGUCUAGUCUUAAAUACAAUAUGUGCAAUCAAAUGUGAUGAAAAUUAUCGGUUAGUCUCACCUCCUUGUGGAAGAGGUUGAAUACAAGGGAUAAUAUAACAUCUCUAUAUCCCCCGCCCAUUGUCUAGUCUUAAAUACAAUAUGUGCAAUCAAAUGUGAUGAAAAUUAUCGGUUAGUCUCACCUCCUUGUGGAAGAGGUUGAAUACAAGGGAUAAUAUAACAUCUCUAUAUCCCCCGCCCAUUGUCUAGUCUUAAAUACAAUAUGUGCAAUCAAAUGUGAUGAAAAUUAUCAGUUUGUCUCACCUCCUUGUGGAAGAGGUUGAAUACAAGGGCUAAUAUAACAUCUCUAUAUCCCCCGCCCAUUGUCUAGUCUUAAAUACAAUAUGUGCAAUCAAAUGUGAUGAAAAUUAUCAGUUUGUCUCACCUCCUUGUGGAAGAGGUUGAAUACAAGGGCUAAUAUAACAUCUCUAUAUCCCCGCCCAUUGUCUAGUCUUAAAUACAAUAUGUGCAAUCAAAUGUGACGUAAAUUGUCAGUUUGUCUCACCUCCUUGUGGAAGAGGUUGAAUACAAGGGCUAAUAUAACAUCUCUAUAUCCCCCGCCCAUUGUCUAGUCUUAAAUACAAUGAUAUGUGCAAUCAAAUGUGAUGAAAAUUAUCGGUUAGUCUCACCUCCUUGUGGAAGAGGUUGAAUACAAGGGAUAAUAUAACAUCUCCAUAAACUUUGUACAAAUAUCUGCUUUAGUAAGACUGUAAUGAUAAACACACAGGUUAUAAUCAUCUUCCAGUAUGUGAAGGCAAGGAAUAUUUGUAUACUUGAGCACUGCACAAUUAACUCAUUUAAACAUCAUGAAUUGUAUUGUAGGGCAUUGUUUUCAUGCAGGUAUUGUUGCAGCCCUUUACAGGUACAUGUAGUUACCAGAGUAAGGUGCACGGUACAGAUAAGGUACAAAAGUUGUAAGCAUGCUGACCACUCAGAACCUGGUGAACCUGGUGAAUUUCUGAUACAUAUUCUAUCAAUCCUUUUAUGGAUUUGUUGCAGUGUCAACUGGGGUGUCAUUUAAUUAGAAUAAGAAAUAAAUCAUAUUUUGAAGUUUUUAAAGAACAAAGACUCUAUAACACCCAUAGACUGAUAUUGUACAAAGUUUCAUGGAGAAGUACAUAGCAGUACUGAGGUAAGUGUUAAAAUUGCUUCCAUUCAAUUCAAGUCUAAAUUUAUUAAAUUUAUAUACAACCAAAUUUUCGGGGGAAUGAAUAGCAAAAGGUCUAUCUGCACUAUAGGGUGAAUGUGCUUACCAAGUUUCUGAAAGAUAUCUCUGAAGUAAUUUUCCAGUUCUUUCCAGAAAUGAAACCCACUGCUUUCACUCAGCUCGGGGACUAUGUCAAAAUUUAUAAAAAAAAAAAUAUUUUAUUUAGAGAUAAUCAGAAUCAUCAUAAAGAGCAAAAGGCACAUCUACACGAUAUGGUGAAUGUGUGUACCAAGAUUCAUGAAGAUGUCUUGAGUAGUUUUCGAGUUCUGGUCUGGUAAACCCCACUGCUUCCAUUCAGUUCGGGUACUAUGUCAAAAUGUAUAAGAUAUAUAUAUAUAUAUAUUUGUUUAUAGAUAAUCAGAAUCAUCAUAAAUAGCAAAAGACACACCUACACGAUAUGGUGAAUGUGUGUACCAAGAUUCAUGAAGAUAUCUUGAGUAGUUUUUGAGUUCUGCUCUGGUAAACCCCACUGCUUCCAUUCAGUUCAGGGACUAAGUCCAAAUUUCAACACUUUAUACAAAAUAUAAUUUUAUUUUUGUAGGGGCGGGGGAUAAUAACUGUCAUCGGGUCCUGUAAACCUGUGCAAUAAUGACAGAAGAUGUGAAAGAUAUUAGAAGUAAUGAUAUGUUUAGAAUAUGAGGUAAAACUACAUGUGAAGUGGAAGUGAUCAGAUGAUAGAAUCAUCCCUCUUGACGGACUGCAAAGACAUGGUAUUUGUAAUGUAUUUGGUGUGUUGAUAAUUUCCCCUCAACCAAACUAAGUGCAGAUGUCGAUAUAGAAACAACAUCAGUGUGUCCAUCUGUCACAUUUUGUAUCCAGAGCAUAACUUAUCAGUGUUCAAUAUUUCCUCAUGAAAAUUUGUAUGAGCACUAGGCACCCUCACAAUUUGUGCCUUUUCCCAUGCUGGAAUGUUUAUAAUAUUUCUUUUGCAUUUUCGUGGCAACAAGUUGGUUCACAUGAGGGUGGGGUUCGUUUCCAGACCACAAUUCAUAAACCAUUGCAACUUUCUUAUGAAACUUUGUAUACACAUCAGGCAGGCUCUGAACUGGUCCCUGUGGCUAUUCAGUUUUUGGGUAGACUUUUUAUAUUUUGCAUUUCUUAGAAAAUACCAAUUUGGACAAGUAAGCAAACCAGUUAUCAAAGAUGAUACAACUCAUGCUGCUACUGCAGGUUGAAAUAGGUCUCCAGCAAUACAUGCUUGAGGUGACUAAAUUGAUCAGGUGGUCGGGUAACUUGGUUUUUUGUAUGACAUGGUACCCAGACAGUGUGGAUGCUGCUUACACUGCAGUGUCAACUAAAAGAAAAGGCAUCAUACUUAAAAUCGGGAACAUACAUUAGUUUAUGUGUUUGCUGUUGUGGAAUUUUGAAAGUAUUAUCUAGAUCACAGCAAAUGUAAUUACAUGCCAUUACUAAUUCACCACUUUGCAAGGUAUUGAAAUAAUUUGGUGUAGUCAUUAAUUGUUAUGUCAGUUGUACUCAAAUCGUUAGCAUUAAUGAGGUAUAUGAUACUUCCUGUGAUGUUAUACAUUACUUACAAGGGACAUUCAUUAGUUUGUCUUCUUGGAACAAAAGUUAACAUUGACACAGGAGGUUCAGUGGUAUACAAUACACAACUAAUCAAGGGUCUGGAAUCAAACUGCAGACUAUGGUUUAUGAAACAUUUGUUUAUUUUCAGUUCAGUUCCUUUACCAGUUGAAUUGGUCGCUCUAUUACAUACCCUGAACAUUGGUGAUAUGUUCGUAUUUUUUUCAUAUAUUUUUCUAACAUAUGCAAGAGAAGAGGGUAGAAAAUCCACCCAGAAGGGGAAAACACAGGAUGAAAAGUGUAUUACAAUUUGAGACACCUCAAAGGAAUUUUCUGGAAUGGACACAAGAAGACUCCAACUAUGAAAGAACUGGAGAUGGAGGCCUCAUUCUAUGACCUUGACAUUGUGGACAAUGAAGGGGCGGGUAACUGCAUGUUUAUUGCAUUGGCUCAACAGCUUCAACAACAUGACAUUGACAUAACCAGCCAUAAACAUCUGCCAGAAAACGGUUGUGCAAUAUGUGCAGAGCUGCCACAGAUUACCUGAUGUAUAUUGGGGUUAAGGAAGCAAUCAUUCUCAUUCUGAUGGAUGUGCUGAAUAAAACCUAUGAAGAAGUCAAUCGCGGGUGUAAAUCAACAGAAGUUGAUGUCAGUCAAGUUCCAGGGAGGGGUGUCCACAUCACUGUGGAUGACGAAUAAUGACGGUUUGGUUCACACAGGGAGGAUUAAAAUGCCUCUGUUAUACAGGAUGACUGACUUGCUGGAUGUGUUGUGAUGAUUGUGCUUGCACACUGAUGUCAACAACCACCUCUUUACAAGAAGUAAAAAGAUUAAAGUAAUUUGCUGUAUAUGAACCAUAGUUAUAUGUCUUUUUGUGGAAUUAGUAUUUCUUUGUGUGACAAUGUGUGAAUUUAUUAAGUCUGGGACGGGUGAUUCGGGUACCCAGGUCGGGUGGGUACUGAGUAGGACCCGGGUACCCACAGGACUACCCGGAUGCGUGGUUAGUCACGUGAUAUAUUGUUUAAUGACAAACAUUAUCUAGAACUCUAUGCUUACACAACAAGUCACAAAUGUUCGCAUUUCUCUGACUAUGCACCCUUUCCUUCUGACUUAAGUUUUUCUUUUGGCUGUUGAUAGUGAAUCCAAUUUCUAACUUGUGAUCAGAAUAUGAAUGCUAUGGAUCAGU
This 4573-nucleotide unclassified non-coding RNA is filed under the name Haliotis rufescens (red abalone). Its description in RNAcentral is "uncharacterized LOC124110689, transcript variant X3". The record is from RNAcentral. Lineage: Eukaryota; Metazoa; Mollusca; Gastropoda; Lepetellida; Haliotidae.